CACAGGCCUUGAGGCUUGAGUAAUAAGCUCCUCUCUCUCUCUCUAUCUGACCAGCAGGAGAGGAGGUCCUGUACCAUACGACGCAGAGCUCGGAGGGAGUAAAUUAAUGGAGGUGCACGAGCAUUCUCCCCACAAUGUGGUCAAAUUGCGGGGGUUCACGCCAUCCCCACCAGGGGAUAUGAGCUGUACCGCCUGCCUUGCCAAGAACAACUCCCUCUGCUUUCUCCAUCAACAUGCGAUGCGGUAGUCACGAGUUCAUUUAUUAGACCUGCUCGUCUCUCUCUCUCCCAUAUAUAUACUGAUACAUAUAUAUAUAUAAGCACCACCACCAUGAUCAUCAUGGUCCUGCUGCUGCUUCUCUUCCCGCCGGAAUCUGCAGCGACCUACCGGAGGCUUGGUCCCGCAGCGAUGCAGGCGUUUGCCGUAGAGUCCGGAGACGUUGCUGCCGAAGUGCAUAGAGUAACCAAGAAGCACGAACAAGCCGCGGAAGCCCCCCAGCUGAAGAACUGCUUGCCAAAGGGCUUCCGGCCGCCGCCGUCCGCGCCGAGCCGAUACGUGAAUUCUCACCCUUUUGAGUACUUGUCGUGUGAUUCUCGAACGGCGUCUGAGCCGAGGCAGUGAGGAGAGGAUACGGGUUUAUGACCCUCCCUUUACAGAGGAGGGAUACGGUUUUGUGUAGAUGUUGUCAAAAUCUCAUAGCAAGUGAAAGUUCAUGUUUUUUUAUACAAUAUUCCAUUGUAUAUCAUAUCUUUAUUAAGACAAAGAAGGAAACAUAUCAAAUAUUUGAGUGUAUAAUAUACAAAUCAA
Molecule: long non-coding RNA, 807 nt
Organism: Nymphaea colorata (pocket water lily)
Lineage: Eukaryota; Viridiplantae; Streptophyta; Magnoliopsida; Nymphaeales; Nymphaeaceae
Exons: 2
Source: RefSeq, a predicted model, not a curated record